This 466-nucleotide ribosomal RNA is filed under the name uncultured bacterium. RNAcentral describes it as "partial 16S ribosomal RNA". It matches the Rfam family "Bacterial small subunit ribosomal RNA", at positions 28 to 506 of the family's 1533-position model. The record is from RNAcentral.
GACGAACGCUGGCGGCGUGCUUAACACAUGCAAGUCGAACGGAAAGGCCCUGCUUUUGUGGGGUGCUCGAGUGGCGAACGGGUGAGUAACACGUGAGAACCUGCCCUUGACUUUGGGAUAACUUCAGGAAACUGGGGCUAAUACCGGAUAGGAGCUCCUGCUGCAUGGUGGGGGUUGGAAAGUUUCGGCGGUUGGGGAUGGACUCGCGGCUUAUCAGCUUGUUGGUGGGGUAGUGGCUUACCAAGGCUUUGACGGGUAGCCGGCCUGAGAGGGUGACCGGCCACAUUGGGACUGAGAUACGGCCCAGACUCCUACGGGAGGCAGCAGUGGGGAAUAUUGCACAAUGGGCGGAAGCCUGAUGCAGCAACGCCGCGUGCGGGAUGACGGCCUUCGGGUUGUAAACCGCUUUCGCCUGUGACGAAGCGUGAGUGACGGUAAUGGGUAAAGAAGCACCGGCUAACUACGU